UGCUGCAUGGCUGUCGUCAGCUCGUGUCGUGAGAUGUUCGGUUAAGUCCGCUAACGAGCGCAACCCUCGCUGUGUGUUAUAUGUGUCACACGGGACGUGCCGGUCUUAAGCCGGAGGAAGGUGGGGAUGAUGUCAAGUCAGCAUGGCCUUUAUAUCCUGGGCUACACACACGCUACAAUGGCCAACACAAUAGGUUGCUAAGCCGCGAGGUGGCGCCAAUCCAUAAAGUUGGUCUCAGUUCAGAUUGUAGGCUGCAACCCGCCUGCAUGAAGAUGGAGUUGCUAGUAACCGCAGGUCAGCUAUACUGCGGUGAAUACGUUCCCGGGGCUU
RNAcentral lists this ribosomal RNA (330 nucleotides) under uncultured Leptolinea sp. RNAcentral describes it as "bacterial SSU rRNA". It matches the Rfam family "Bacterial small subunit ribosomal RNA", at positions 1039 to 1382 of the family's 1533-position model. Lineage: Bacteria; Bacillati; Chloroflexota; Anaerolineae; Anaerolineales; Anaerolineaceae. The record is from RNAcentral.